This is a non-coding RNA of Urocitellus parryii (Arctic ground squirrel), 1296 nucleotides long. Lineage: Eukaryota; Metazoa; Chordata; Mammalia; Rodentia; Sciuridae. The record is from RefSeq and is a predicted model, not a curated record.
GAGUUCGUUGCGAGCGGCGCGGUCCUCGGGAGGCGCUCGCGCUGCCUUGUGGGCGCCCGCAAGCCAGGAAGGAGGCCAUGGACGGGGCCAGGCGAGCUAGUGAGCCCUUGCMGGUGGAGGGAACCUGCAGUCCUUCCCGUGGAACCGCGCAGCCUCAGUCCACAUUGACACUUCACACGGAGGCCAAGAACACACAGAUACUACGCGGACAACUCAGGGUAAAGAAGGCUUCUCAGAAUGCCUUAGAAUGUCAGGGAUGCGGAAAGCCAUUAUCUGACCCUGACCUUGGACAGACUGAGGGGCACCGAGUGAGGCCGUGGUCGUGCUGGCAUCCUUAGUUUGGUCUCUGUCUAGAGGACCAGGACACCCCUUAUUGGGAGUGGCAGCUUGGUAAGUUAAUGGUAGGCAACUCCCAGUUUUUCUGCCUAAGCCAAAAGGGCUUUCAGCUUCAGCAUGCUGCAGCCAACGCACAGGGCUGCAGAAAUGUGAUGCCCUUGAGCCUCUGCAGUCACACAGUAUAUUCGCUACUUUGUACUGUAGCAGUACCCCAUGUGCUACCUGGGGACAGCAGUGUGUGGUAUGUGGAUUUCAGAGAUGGAAAUGAGACUUGUGUUCCACAAAAUUAGUGAAAUAAAGAUCUCAGGAGUUGGACCUCCUGAAGCUGAAGCCCUUGGCACCUCCCUGAGUGCCUAGUGCUUAGUCUUCAACUGAUGUCUAGUGCCUUCUCUGGGGCCGAGGCUGAGGCUGAGGCUGAGGCUGACCGGGGGACACUGGGGUGGCCUGUUACUCACUUUCUGUCAGCUGUGCAGCCACUAGGCAAAAUCUUCAUGGAACUAGAUGUACACAAAUCAGUGACUUCAGCUAGUCAUCAGGAGAGCCAGUGAGGCCAUCAGAUGGAGGGAACCUGCAGUCCUUGUCCGUGGAACCGCGCAGGAAAAGGGUGGGCYGUCAGCAGCAGCAGCCUGAGGGGACACACGGUGCUGGGGCUUCCAGGAGCUGCAGCGUGGAGCUCAGGUGCCCUGGUGCCCUUGGUAAGAGCAGGCUGGGGGUCUGCCCCAGCACCCGGCCUGGAGGCCUCAGCCAGCARGGUCCAUUGCCUUCACAUUCAGGUGCCCACUAACAACGCAGGUUCCCAGGUCUGUCCAGAMCAGACGCCUGUGAAGAGGAGGCUGGCUCUGCAUUUAUACCAAUUUUUAUUCACAAUAAAUUUUGUAGAUUUCUUUUAUAAAAGCAUUAAAGUCUGGACAAUCCAGAUUUUACAGUGACUGGAGUAAUGAAAUAGCUACACAUUUGAAA